Molecule: long non-coding RNA, 1155 nt
Filed under: Gadus morhua (Atlantic cod)
Lineage: Eukaryota; Metazoa; Chordata; Actinopteri; Gadiformes; Gadidae
Description: lncRNA (ENSGMOG00000024705.1)
Source: RNAcentral
AUGGGACUCAUCCAGGAUGAGUUGGAUGACACGGCACAGGUUUGGAACACACACACUAUCAGGCCAUCGAAAAAUCCUAACAUCCCCAGCGGUCGGCCGAACGUGAUGUUUGCAGUACCUGAACUCUAUGGGACAAGAGACUUCCUUUCCCUAAUUGAAGAUGGUGAAUUUCAACUGUGCAAAAACGAAUGCAUCUUUCGCCAGACCAAACCGUGUGAUCCAGAUCUGUAUGAACUAUGCAACAUCUUUUUGGCUGAGUCCAAUCUCACCCUAGCAACAGAUCCAUAUCAGGCAGUGAACUUGUACAUGCACCUCAGAGAGGCCAUCAGGGCAUGUGUGUAGGUCAGACGUAUUUUGUGGUCACAUAUGUAAAUAAUUCACCUUGCUGUUCUUUUCCUUUUAUAAGUUUCUGGUCACAUAUGUAAAUAAUUCACCUUGCUGUUCUUUUCCUUUUAUAAGUUUCCUUUAAAGGUCCCAUGACAUGAAAAUCUCACUUUAUGAGGUUUUCUAACAUAAAUAUGAGUUCCCCUAGCCUGCCUAUGGUCCCCCAGUGGCUAAAACUUGCAUUUGGUGUAAAACGAGCACUAGCUGUUCUGCUCGCCUUUGAAAAAACGAGGCUCAAGCGCGCUGAUUUGGAAUGUCUUUAUUUAUGUCGUCAUAAAGCAUCUAAGCUCCUCCCCUUACUCUGCCUGGCCCGCUCAGAGACGUUGGCCCGCCAAUGAGACACAACCGUGCGAGCGCCACAUGUGUGUGAAUACACACACUGUAACGCAAGUGUUUCUUGUCGGUGCUUUGACGUCUCUUGUAUUUCCACAACGAGACUGUCAUGGGGGUUAUCUGAGCCAUGGUUGAGAAGGACUUGAUAGAAUAUCAUUGGAUUUCAAAUGAUGGGACCAAAAAAUGGAUGUAUCUAUCUUACUCUGAACUUCUGAUGGCCAAUCAGUACAAAUAUUGACAUGUUACCGACAGAAAAGCAUUUUGAAAUUAUCUGUGCAUUUACAACCUAUAGUUUCAAAUACUGAGAGAGGGGUUAAAAACGACAAUACACGCUAUUCAUGUUUUGUUGAGACUGGAAUUUUUUCUAUUACUGUAACUAUAUUGCUAUCCCCUAUUUAAUCCUGGUGUGGAACUCUGAAUAAACAAAAAAUUGCCAAA